GUCUACAGCCAUACCACCCUGAACGCUCUAAAUCUUAUCUAAUCUCGGAAGCUAAGCAGGGUCGGGCCCAGUAGUACUUGGAUGGGAGAAAAUAAUUUCCAUUCAUUUUGUGUUUUGUAUUCA
Molecule: ribosomal RNA, 123 nt
Filed under: Capra hircus (goat)
Lineage: Eukaryota; Metazoa; Chordata; Mammalia; Artiodactyla; Bovidae
Source: RNAcentral